This 493-nucleotide ribosomal RNA is filed under the name uncultured bacterium. Its description in RNAcentral is "partial 16S ribosomal RNA". It matches the Rfam family "Bacterial small subunit ribosomal RNA", at positions 29 to 507 of the family's 1533-position model. The record is from RNAcentral.
AACGAACGCUGGCGGCGCGUCUUAAACAUGCAAGUCGAACGGCAGGAAGGGGCUUGCCCCUUCUGAGAGUGGCGGACUGGUGAGUAACACGUGGGUGACAUACCUUUUAGUUGGGGAUAGCUAUUAGAAAUAGUAGGUAAUACCGAAUGUGACCGUACCUGUUAGAGGGGUACGAGGAAAGGAGCUAAGGCUUCGCUAAAAGAAUGGCUCGCGGCCCAUUAUGCUCGUUGGUGAGGUAACGGCCCACCAAGGCGAUGAUGGGUAUCCGGCCUGAGAGGGUGAACGGACACAUUGGGACUGAGAUACGGCCCAGACUUCUACGGGAGGCAGCAGUGAAGAAUAUUCCGCAAAGGACGAAAGUCUGACGGAGCGACGCCGCGUGGAUGAAGAAUGCCGAAAGGUUGUAAAAUCCUUUUAAGCCUGAUGAAUAAGCACAGUAGGGAAUGAUUGUGCGGUGACCGUAGGGCUUGAAUAAGCACCGGCUAAUUACGUG